GGUUGAUCCUGCCAGUAGUCAUAUGCUUGUCUCAAAGAUUAAGCCAUGCAUGUCUCAGUGUAAACUUUUAAACAGUGAAACUGCGAAUGGCUCAUUAAAACAGUUAUAGUUUAUUUGAUAAUCUUUCUACAUGGAUAACCGUGGGAAUUCUAGGGCUAAUACAUGCGUAACCCGCAAGGGAUGUGUUUAUUAGAUUUAAAACUAACGCCAGGUUUACCUGGGACCGUUGGAAUAAUAAUAACCGAUCGAAUCGCAUGCUUCACAGCGGCGAUAAAUCAUUCGAGUUUCUGAC
This 292-nucleotide ribosomal RNA is filed under the name uncultured eukaryote. RNAcentral's name for it is "partial 18S ribosomal RNA". It matches the Rfam family "Eukaryotic small subunit ribosomal RNA", at positions 6 to 311 of the family's 1831-position model. The record is from RNAcentral.